AUAACUCCAAAUCACCGACAACUACCAUUGCAAGCAUGUUCUUACUUUUGUCAACUUGUGGUUGUAAACUUGUAACUCAAAUUCCUCCAUAAUACAAGGGUCUUUUCUUCCCUCAUUUUUGGAGCUAUAUUAUCUUCGUUCUUUUUCAAUUUUAGUUGCGAGUCUUGGGCAAAAUUUAUUUUUCACUAUCUUAAGUAAAAUAAUUAUCG
RNAcentral lists this long non-coding RNA (209 nucleotides) under Panax ginseng (ginseng). Its description in RNAcentral is "long non-coding RNA (PGIN_LNC002519)". Lineage: Eukaryota; Viridiplantae; Streptophyta; Magnoliopsida; Apiales; Araliaceae. The record is from RNAcentral.